RNAcentral lists this unclassified non-coding RNA (218 nucleotides) under uncultured fungus. RNAcentral's name for it is "partial contains 5.8S ribosomal RNA, internal transcribed spacer 2, and large subunit ribosomal RNA". The stretch from base 1 to 52 matches the Rfam family "5.8S ribosomal RNA", at positions 103 to 154 of the family's 154-position model. The record is from RNAcentral. Lineage: Eukaryota; Fungi.
AACGCACAUUGCGCCCUUUGGUAUUCCGAAGGGCAUGCCUGUUUGAGUGUCAUAUAGACUCACCUACUCGGGUUUCCGAACUAGGUGCUUUGGACGUUUGCCGCCUUCUGGCUCGUCUUAAAUGUCUAAGUGGAAUGCGUAAUAAGUUUUCGCUCUCUCCACUCUAAUUACACUUUAGCUCUGACCUCAAAUCAGGUAGGACUACCCGCUGAACUUAA